GAAGAAAAGGAUGAUGACAAUGACCAGGCUCAAGUGACCAGAAACAAAAGGUGCUACUUUUUAUGUUGCCCAUCUACCUAAGCAGCCACCUAAGUUACUUCCCGUGCCAGCAAGACCAAAUAAACACGAAAAUAAGAGGAGUUCUUUGGUGUACACUCAUGCUACUCUGAAUAAUUGCUGCAGAAUGAAGUGGCAAGCAUAGAAGAAAUGUAGAGCCAGUUUCCCUCGGAUGCAGUGUAUUACACUGAGUCUGAGGAUACACAACAGUCUAUUGAGGUUGGUUAUUGCAAUUAAAAGGUUUCUAUAGAUCUUAAUUCUUUAUGCUUGGCUUGUCUUACUGCAUGCUCUUAGUUACAAGUUAUGUUGGUUAAUAUUGAUCAUUUCGUGAAUUAGAUCCGGUAACAACCAACAAAAUUAGUUCCUGUUGCUAUGACCUGGGCAAUGAACAACAGAUGCAGUUUGCCUCAUUUCUAAUGUUCC
This 480-nucleotide long non-coding RNA is filed under the name Triticum aestivum (bread wheat). RNAcentral describes it as "long non-coding RNA (TAES_LNC008715)". Lineage: Eukaryota; Viridiplantae; Streptophyta; Magnoliopsida; Poales; Poaceae. The record is from RNAcentral.